AGCAGCCGCGGUAAUUCCAGCUCCAAUAGCGUAUAUUAAAGUUGUUGCAGUUAAAAGCUCGUAGUUGAAUUUCGGGGUUCUACCGUUGGUCAGGCUAUAGUCUGUACUGGCGUGUGGAAUUUCUACCUUCUGGGGAACUAUCAUGUUAUUAAUUUAGCGUGGUAGGAAACCAGAACCUUUACCUUGAAAAAUUAGAGUGUUCAAAGCAGGCUUACGUCUGAAUACAUUAGCAUGGAAUAAUAAAAUAGGACGUGGUCCUGUUUGUUGGUUUCUGAAUCACCGUAAUGAUUAAUAGGGAUAGUUGGGGGCAUUAGUAUUCAAUUGUCAGAGGUGAAAUCUUGGAUU
Molecule: small RNA, 345 nt
Filed under: uncultured Gigaspora
Lineage: Eukaryota; Fungi; Glomeromycota; Glomeromycetes; Diversisporales; Gigasporaceae
Description: SSU rRNA
Rfam family: Eukaryotic small subunit ribosomal RNA
Source: RNAcentral